ACUCUGUAGCCCAGGCUGGCCUUGAACUCACAGAGAUCCACCUGCCUCUGCCUCCCGAGUGCUGGGAUCAAAAGGAUGCACCGCUGCUGCUACCACCACCACUGCCGCCACCUGGCUGAGCUGCAUUUCUUUAGCUACAUAGGAAGCCUGUCUAGAAGAAAAUAUGAACAGCUCCCAUCCUCCCACCCUCAGGACCAAGAAGAGUCUUUCCCUGAGGCCCGAGGCCAAGUUCCUGAGUAGGAGGAAUGCCUAAGAGCACCUGCACUGUCCAGACCAGUCCCAAGGUGAUAGUCAGUGCUUGACGUCUCCCAGGCUGGUUCUAAACACGUGCACGUACCGCUGCAGAUAGCCACCAACUAGAUUCAAAGCCACAACACAAAAGGAUGCCAAGGACACAUGAAGAGCACACCACAGCCUGCGUGUUCAGGGGCUGUUUUCCAUAUGUCCAUUCGUUUCUUUUGUUUAAGGCACCUGCCUAAGUUGGGUCAUUUAGCACAAAGCCUUGUAAAUAAAAGGAACUAGCAAUGAAAUAAAAGUCUUUACAGUUGCUUGAAAA
This is a non-coding RNA of Peromyscus maniculatus bairdii (prairie deer mouse), 556 nucleotides long. Lineage: Eukaryota; Metazoa; Chordata; Mammalia; Rodentia; Cricetidae. The record is from RefSeq and is a predicted model, not a curated record.